GGACUUUGAAAAGAGAGUCAAAGA
This 24-nucleotide small nuclear RNA is filed under the name Arabidopsis thaliana (thale cress). RNAcentral's name for it is "snRNA_00033". The record is from RNAcentral. Lineage: Eukaryota; Viridiplantae; Streptophyta; Magnoliopsida; Brassicales; Brassicaceae.